CACGUAGGGUGCGAGCGUUGUCCGGAAUUAUUGGGCGUAAAGAGCUCGUAGGCGGUGUGUCGCGUCGACUGUGAAAACCCGCGGCUUAACUGCGGGCUUGCAGUUGAUACGGGCAGGCUAGAGUUCGGUAGGGGAGACUGGAAUUCCUGGUGUAGCGGUGAAAUGCGCAGAUAUCAGGAGGAACACCGGUGGCGAAGGCGGGUCUCUGGGCCGAUACUGACGCUGAGGAGCGAAAGCGUGGGGAGCGAACAGG
This 253-nucleotide ribosomal RNA is filed under the name uncultured bacterium. Its description in RNAcentral is "partial 16S ribosomal RNA". It matches the Rfam family "Bacterial small subunit ribosomal RNA", at positions 524 to 776 of the family's 1533-position model. The record is from RNAcentral.